GCCAAAUGGGGUUUGAGACAAGAGGUGAGGCUGGAUGGAGCUUUGAGGACCUCCGGUUUGGCAGCAACUUACGACUAUCAUGGGUUAAGCCAGUAUAGGACUUUCAGCAGAUUUGUUCGGAGAUUUCCAUCAAGCCAGGCAUCAUGUCCGUGUGGCCACAAGUGAGUUUGCUUUUUUUUAUUGCGCAAAAUAUUUGUUUGUUAGCACUAUCCUGAUCUCCAAAAUAUUGCUACUAUUAGAAGUAAGAUGUUUUCAGAUCCUUGGUUCAAGGCUAUCUAAAUUUUCUACAUGAUUGUUAGAAUUCA
This is a long non-coding RNA of Lolium rigidum, 305 nucleotides long. RefSeq lists it as uncharacterized. The record is from RefSeq and is a predicted model, not a curated record. Lineage: Eukaryota; Viridiplantae; Streptophyta; Magnoliopsida; Poales; Poaceae. The transcript is spliced from 2 exons.